Molecule: long non-coding RNA, 312 nt
Organism: Podarcis muralis (Common wall lizard)
Lineage: Eukaryota; Metazoa; Chordata; Lepidosauria; Squamata; Lacertidae
Source: RefSeq, a predicted model, not a curated record
CUUUUGAUAUUUGAAUGAGUUUCAUUUGCCCCCAACUAAACUGAAAAUGACUGAACCCGUAAACCCGGUCAUUUAUUUCAGAGGAACUCUCGCCCGUGAGCUGUGUUCUGAAUCAUGGCAUAGAGAGAGGUCUGUUUUUAACUGUGCAUGUUGUGAGAUGAUGUUUUCUCAAGAAAGCUGUGUUUGCCACUGAGGACACUUCUCUUAACAAGAGAAAGAAGAGGUUCCGGGGACGUGGUUGUUCUUUUAAGCUGAUUCACAGGAACGAUGCAAUGCCUGCUUUUCACUCAAUUAAAGAAAUCAAGGAAUUCA